This 253-nucleotide ribosomal RNA is filed under the name uncultured bacterium. RNAcentral describes it as "partial 16S ribosomal RNA". It matches the Rfam family "Bacterial small subunit ribosomal RNA", at positions 524 to 776 of the family's 1533-position model. The record is from RNAcentral.
UACGGAGGGGGCUAGCGUUGUUCGGAAUUACUGGGCGUAAAGCGCACGUAGGCGGCUUUGUAAGUUAGAGGUGAAAGCCCGGGGCUCAACUCCGGAAUUGCCUUUAAGACUGCAUCGCUAGAAUUGUGGAGAGGUGAGUGGAAUUCCGAGUGUAGAGGUGAAAUUCGUAGAUAUUUGCUAGAACACCAGUGGCGAAGGCGGCCAACUGGACCAUAACUGACGCUGAGGUGCGAAAGCGUGGGGAGCAAACAGG